This 233-nucleotide ribosomal RNA is filed under the name uncultured anaerobic ammonium-oxidizing bacterium. Its description in RNAcentral is "partial 16S ribosomal RNA". It matches the Rfam family "Bacterial small subunit ribosomal RNA", at positions 439 to 663 of the family's 1533-position model. The record is from RNAcentral.
GGAGUUAUGAAAUGCAGGCUCGCUAAUAUCGGGUCUAUUUGACAAAGGCUCCAAAGGAAGCCACGGCUAACUCUGUGCCAGCAGCCGCGGUAAUACAGAGGUGGCAAGCGUUGUUCGGAAUUAUUGGGCGUAAAGAGCACGUAGGUGGAUUUGUAAGUCAGAUGUGAAAGCCUUCUGUUCAACGGGAGAAUUGCAUCUGAAACUACAGACCUUGAGUAUAGGAGGGGAGAGUG